UGCAAGUCGAGCGCGAAAGGCCUUCGGGUUGAGUAGAGCGGCGGACGGGUGAGUAACGCGUAGGAAUCUACCUGGUAGUGGGGGACAACAUGGUGAAAACCAUGCUAAUACCGCAUACGCCCUAUGGGGGAAAGCGGGGGACCUUCGGGCCUCGCGCUAUCAGAUGAGCCUGCGUAGGAUUAGCUUGUUGGUGAGGUAAAGGCUCACCAAGGCGACGAUCCUUAGCUGGUCUGAGAGGAUGAUCAGCCACACUGGAACUGAGACACGGUCCAGACUCCUACGGGAGGCAGCAGUGGGGAAUAUUGCGCAAUGGGCGAAAGCCUGACGCAGCCAUGCCGCGUGUGUGAAGAAGGCCUUCGGGUUGUAAAGCACUUUCAAUUGGGAAGAAAGGUUGCGUGUUAAUAGCACGUAGCUGUGACGUUACCUUUAGAAGAAGCACCGGCUAACUCCGUGCCAGCAGCCGCGGUAAUACGGAGGGUGCGAGCGUUAAUCGGAAUUACUGGGCGUAAAGCGCGCGUAGGCGGUUUGUUAAGUCGGAUGUGAAAUCCCCGGGCUCAACCUGGGAAUGGCAUUCGAUACUGGCCGACUAGAGUACGAGAGAGGGAGGUAGAAUU
This 614-nucleotide ribosomal RNA is filed under the name uncultured Gammaproteobacteria bacterium. RNAcentral's name for it is "bacterial SSU rRNA". It matches the Rfam family "Bacterial small subunit ribosomal RNA", at positions 56 to 668 of the family's 1533-position model. Lineage: Bacteria; Pseudomonadati; Pseudomonadota; Gammaproteobacteria. The record is from RNAcentral.